RNAcentral lists this ribosomal RNA (274 nucleotides) under uncultured Eubacteriales bacterium. RNAcentral describes it as "uncultured Clostridiales bacterium partial 16S ribosomal RNA". It matches the Rfam family "Bacterial small subunit ribosomal RNA", at positions 75 to 339 of the family's 1533-position model. Lineage: Bacteria; Bacillati; Bacillota; Clostridia; Eubacteriales. The record is from RNAcentral.
AGGCUUCGGCCAACAGAGAGGACUACCUAGUGGCGGACGGGUGAGUAACGCGUGAGGAACCUGCCUUGGAGUGGGGAAUAACAGCCCGAAAGGGUUGCUAAUACCGCAUAAGCGCACGGUGUCGCAUGACACAGUGUGAAAACACUCCGGUGGUAUGAGAUGGACCCGCGUCUGAUUAGGCAGUUGGUGAGGUAACGGCUCACCAAGACCGCGAUCAGUAGCCGGACUGAGAGGUUGAACGGCCACAUUGGGACUGAGAUACGGCCCAGACUCC